CCUCGCCAACAUCUAUGUUGCCUGAGUUGUUAAUGUGAGCCAUUCUGACAGUAUCGACUAACCCCCGUUGGGUAUAAGAAGAGUCUCCAGAGGGCGUGAAGGACAUUGCCAUCCCCAAAUCCAGAGUCAUUUCCAAUGGCAGCCAAAAGAAAGAACCAACAACCUGGACGUUCCGAGCAGGAAGAAAGCCAAGCUCAGUUCCACAAAACAAGUGAGAAGACAAGUGAGAAAACAAUAUCUAUCUCGGGGAGAGAAAAGAGAGAGACAGAGCAUGAAUGGGGGAGGGGCA
Long non-coding RNA from Herpailurus yagouaroundi (jaguarundi), 289 nucleotides. RefSeq lists it as uncharacterized. The transcript is spliced from 3 exons. The record is from RefSeq and is a predicted model, not a curated record. NCBI's taxonomy places the organism in Eukaryota, Metazoa, Chordata, Mammalia, Carnivora, Felidae.